AAGGCAAACCGGGCAUGGAGCUAAGAAAUAUGUUGAAGUCACACACCUUACGCUGACACUACAAACAUGAUGCUUUUUUUAUGCAACCCUAUUGGAGCCAGCCAAAAAUCAAAUCUGCAGUUUCAACUUAACCACGGUUAACAGAACAAAAGCAGAAACGUCUGAAGAGUAGUUUUGGAAAUUGGACUCCGCUGAAUGAGCUUACUGGGAGGAAAGGUAAGACCCCAAAAAGAAGGAAGAACAUACAGGGGUUAAAAAGCUGGAGUGACCAUCUGUUUCAACCACUAGUCCCAAAAGGGACUGCCCCAAAGAAAGAGCCAACUAAAAGGAAUUGUUACAAAAGAACUGAAGAGAGGAGGCCAGAAGAGGGAAGAGUUCACCAGAAAUCCAUCUGCAUAACCCUAUUCAGCCAAAAGCAAAGAUUUCAGCAAUUAGAUCCCAGAAUUAUUGCAACAAAUGUUUGAAAUUACAGGCCUAUAAACUGGGGAGCUAUUUCAUGAGAGACAUUACUUCUGAAUGUUUUUUUAUUUGAAUUACUAUCUGCUUCCCAAUGUCUAAAGUUAGAGAUAAAAGUGUGGAGAGGGAAUUCUUUUCUUA
This is a non-coding RNA of Pelodiscus sinensis (Chinese soft-shelled turtle), 597 nucleotides long. Lineage: Eukaryota; Metazoa; Chordata; Testudines; Trionychidae. The record is from RefSeq and is a predicted model, not a curated record.